GGGGAUUUAGCUCAGUGGUAGAGCCCUUGCCUAGCAAGCACAAGGCCCUGGGUUCGGUCCCCAGCUCCA
Molecule: transfer RNA, 69 nt
Filed under: Rattus norvegicus (Norway rat)
Lineage: Eukaryota; Metazoa; Chordata; Mammalia; Rodentia; Muridae
Rfam family: tRNA
About the family: Transfer RNA (tRNA) molecules are approximately 80 nucleotides in length. Their secondary structure includes four short double-helical elements and three loops (D, anti-codon, and T loops).
Source: Rfam by way of RNAcentral